UAAAAUUUAGUUAAAUUAUAACUUUAGAUUGUCAUUCUAAAAUUUCUUUCAAGAAAUUUUAA
RNAcentral lists this transfer RNA (62 nucleotides) under Cerophytidae sp. BMNH 900085. RNAcentral's name for it is "tRNA-Asp". Lineage: Eukaryota; Metazoa; Arthropoda; Insecta; Coleoptera; Cerophytidae. The record is from RNAcentral.